AGCCAGACUCCUACGGGAGGCAGCAGUCGAGAAUCAUUCGCAAUGGGGGAAACCCUGAUGGUGCGACGCCGCGUGGGGGAAUGAAGGUCUUCGGAUUGUAAACCCCUGUCAUGUGGGAGCAAAUUAAAAAGAUAGUACCACAAGAGGAAGAGACGGCUAACUCUGUGCCAGCAGCCGCGGUAAUACAGAGGUCUCAAGCGUUGUUCGGAAUCACUGGGCGUAAAGCGUGCGUAGGCUGUUUCGUAAGUCGUGUGUGAAAGGCGCGGGCGCAGCCCGCGGACGGCACAUGAUUGUGCGAGACUAGAGUAAUGGAGGGGGAACCAGAAUUCGUGGUGUAGCAGUGAAAUGCGUAGAUAUCGGGAGGA
This 365-nucleotide ribosomal RNA is filed under the name uncultured bacterium. RNAcentral describes it as "bacterial SSU rRNA". It matches the Rfam family "Bacterial small subunit ribosomal RNA", at positions 329 to 705 of the family's 1533-position model. The record is from RNAcentral.